Chinchilla lanigera (long-tailed chinchilla) is the source of this 289-nucleotide long non-coding RNA. RefSeq lists it as uncharacterized. The transcript is spliced from 3 exons. Lineage: Eukaryota; Metazoa; Chordata; Mammalia; Rodentia; Chinchillidae. The record is from RefSeq and is a predicted model, not a curated record.
CCACACCACUGACCCCUUCUUUUGUCCAAAGAAACAACCCAGACAGAUGAGAUGGUGGCGUAAGCAAGGCUCAGAGAUUCAUGAUUGCAGAGGAGAAUCCCCGUGUGAGCCUUUUGGGCUUCACAAGGGUCUAAUCCUGGAGAACUGGAGUUCUUGCCAAGCACCGUUGACAAAUGAGAUGUCCACCUCUGAAGCCGACUGGUUGGACACCAGUUGCCGCUGGUUGUCCAAAUCAACGACCAGGUCAUCCAGCUCCUGUUGAAGCCUGUUCUUGGUCUUUUCCAGUUUG